UGGUUAUUUGUAGCUUUUUAUGCAGCACAUUGGGUUCAGGACCCAAUCCACUAAGGAGUAAUUAAAGGAAUCUGACUUAUGUUUCAACCAUUGCCAAGAUUUAAUUUGUGCUUGCUGAAAUAUUUCUUCUGCAUCUACAACGCCUUGUUGGAACACUACCAAGUUCCUCUGAUCCCAAAUACACCUGACUACCGCUGCCCAAACCCCUUU
Molecule: long non-coding RNA, 210 nt
Filed under: Phaseolus vulgaris (common bean)
Lineage: Eukaryota; Viridiplantae; Streptophyta; Magnoliopsida; Fabales; Fabaceae
Description: long non-coding RNA (PVUL_LNC003469)
Source: RNAcentral